AUUGAACGCUGGCGGCAUGCUUUACACAUGCCAGUCGAACGGCAGCGCGGGCUUCGGCCUGGCGGCGAGUGGCGAACGGGUGAGUAAUGCAUCGGAACGUGCCCAGUAGUGGGGGAUAGCCCGGCGAAAGCCGGAUUAAUACCGCAUACGACCUGAGGGUGAAAGCGGGGGACCGAAAGGCCUCGCGCUAUUGGAGCGGCCGAUGUCGGAUUAGCUAGGUGGUGGGGUAAAGGCUUACCAAGGCGACGAUCCGUAGCUGGUCUGAGAGGACGACCAGCCACACUGGGACUGAGACACGGCCCAGACUCCUACGGGAGGCAGCAGUGGGGAAUUUUGGACAAUGGGGGCAACCCUGAUCCAGCCAUGCCGCGUGCGGGAAGAAGGCCUUCGGGUUGUAAACCGCUUUUGUUCGGGAAGAAAUCCUCUGGGCUAAUACCCCGGGGGGAUGACGGUACCGGAAGAAUAAGCACCGGCUAACUACGUG
This 484-nucleotide ribosomal RNA is filed under the name uncultured bacterium. RNAcentral describes it as "partial 16S ribosomal RNA". It matches the Rfam family "Bacterial small subunit ribosomal RNA", at positions 28 to 507 of the family's 1533-position model. The record is from RNAcentral.